This 406-nucleotide ribosomal RNA is filed under the name uncultured bacterium. RNAcentral's name for it is "partial 16S ribosomal RNA". It matches the Rfam family "Bacterial small subunit ribosomal RNA", at positions 30 to 526 of the family's 1533-position model. The record is from RNAcentral.
AUUGAACGCUGGCGGCAGGCCUAACACAUGCAAGUCGAACGAGUGGCGGACGGGUGAGUAAUGUCUGGGAAACUGCCUGAUGGAGGGGGAUAACUACUGGAAACGGUAGCUAAUACCGCAUACCAUCGGAUGUGCCCAGAUGGGAUUCGCUAGUAGGUGGGGUAAAGGCUCACCUAGGCGACGAUCCCUAGCUGGUCUGAGAGGAUGACCAGCAAAACUGUAACGGAGACACGGUCCAGACUCCUACGGGAGGCAGCAUUGGGGAAGAUUGCACAAGGGGCGAAAGCCGGAUGCAGCCAGGCCGCGUGUAUGAAGAAGGCCUUCGGGUUUUAAAGUACUUUCAGCGGGGAGGCGUUACCCGCAGAAGAAGCACCGGCUAACUCCGUGCCAGCAGCCGCGGUAAUAC